UUUAUACUCCCUCCACCCCGAAUUAGUUGUCUUAGAUUUGUCUAGAUACAGACGUAUCUAGACACGUUUUAGUGUUAGAUACAUCCAUAUCUAGACAAAUCUAAGACAACUAAUUUGGGAUGGAGGUAAUAGUUU
This is a non-coding RNA of Triticum aestivum (bread wheat), 135 nucleotides long. NCBI's taxonomy places the organism in Eukaryota, Viridiplantae, Streptophyta, Magnoliopsida, Poales, Poaceae. The record is from Rfam.